RNAcentral lists this long non-coding RNA (258 nucleotides) under Panax ginseng (ginseng). RNAcentral describes it as "long non-coding RNA (PGIN_LNC007248)". Lineage: Eukaryota; Viridiplantae; Streptophyta; Magnoliopsida; Apiales; Araliaceae. The record is from RNAcentral.
AACUUCGCGUUUGAGCAAGUCAGCGACGAUGAGAUCAGAUGUCCUUGUAAGAGGUGUGUGAAUGAAGUGUGGAAGGAAAGGAGUGAUGUCAUGUGCGACUUAUUUGCGUAUGGGUUCAAGCAGGGUUAUACGACAUGGAUCUAUCACGGGGAAACCUGGUUGGAUGAACAUGAAUCAGAAUCGGAAUCCAGAGGUGACGAAAACUUUGACUGUACUAACAUGAUAGUCGAAGCUGCUGGUUCGUACUUUCAGUGGAAU